This is a microRNA precursor of Propithecus coquereli (Coquerel's sifaka), 99 nucleotides long. The record is from Ensembl. Lineage: Eukaryota; Metazoa; Chordata; Mammalia; Primates; Indriidae.
GAGGUGGGAGGGUUGCUUGAGGCCAGGAGUUUGAGGCUACAGUGAGCUAUGAUCACACCACUGCACUCCAGCCUGAGUGACAGAGCAAGACCCUGUCUC